This 247-nucleotide ribosomal RNA is filed under the name uncultured Bacillus sp. Its description in RNAcentral is "partial 16S ribosomal RNA". It matches the Rfam family "Bacterial small subunit ribosomal RNA", at positions 28 to 264 of the family's 1533-position model. Lineage: Bacteria; Bacillati; Bacillota; Bacilli; Caryophanales; Bacillaceae. The record is from RNAcentral.
UGACGAACGCUGGCGGCGUGCCUAAUACAUGCAAGUCGAGCGGAUCUUCAUUAGCUUGCUUUUGAAGAUCAGCGGCGGACGGGUGAGUAACACGUGGGCAACCUGCCUGUAAGACUGGGAUAACUUCGGGAAACCGGAGCUAAUACCGGAUAAUCCUUUCCCUCUCAUGAGGGAAAGUUGAAAGACGGUUUCGGCUGUCACUUACAGAUGGGCCCGCGGCGCAUUAGCUAGUUGGUGAGGUAACGGC